Molecule: ribosomal RNA, 427 nt
Filed under: uncultured bacterium
Lineage: Bacteria
Description: bacterial SSU rRNA
Rfam family: Bacterial small subunit ribosomal RNA
Source: RNAcentral
GUGAGGAAUUUUCCGCAAUGGGCGAAAGCCUGACGGAGCAAUGCCGCGUGAAGGAUGAAGGCCUAUGGGUUGUAAACUUCUUUUCUCAGAAAAGAAUUAUGACGGUAUCUGAGGAAUAAGCAUCGGCUAACUCUGUGCCAGCAGCCGCGGUAAGACAGAGGAUGCAAGCGUUAUCCGGAAUGAUUGGGCGUAAAGCGUCUGUAGGUUGUUUAAAAAGUAUUCUGUCAAAGAUUAGGGCUUAACCCUAGAUAGGAAGAAUAAACUUUUAAGCUAGAGUUUGGUAGAGGCAGAGGGAAUUCCCGGUGGAGCGGUGAAAUGCGUAGAUAUCGGGAGGAACACCAAAGGCGAAGGCACUCUGCUGGGCCAAUACUAACACUGAGAGACGAAAGCGAGGGGAGCAAAUGGGAUUAGAUACCCUGUGUAGUCC